GACGAACGCUGGCGGCGUGCCUAAUACAUGCAAGUAGAACGCUGAAGGAGGAGCUUGCUUCUCUGGAUGAGUUGCGAACGGGUGAGUAACGCGUAGGUAAACUGCAUGGUAGCGGGGGAUAACUCUUGGAAACGAUAGCUAAUACAGCAUAACAGUAGAUAUCGCAUGAUAUCUACUAGUAAGGUGCAAUUGUAUCACUACUAGAUGGACCUUCGUUGUAUUAGCUAGUUGGUGAGGUAAUGGCUCACCAAGGAGACGAUACAUAGCCGACCUGAGAGGGGGAUCGGCCACACUGGGACUGAGACACGGGCCAGACUCCUUCGGGAGGCAGCAGUAGGGAAUCUUCGGCAAUGGACGGAAGGCUGACCGAGCAACGCCGCGUGAGGGAAGAAGGUUUUCGGAUCGUAAAGCUCUGUUUUAAGAGAAGAACGAAUGUUGUAGUGGAAAGUUCACACUGUGACGGUAUCUAACCAGAAAGGGACGGCUAACUACGUG
This 495-nucleotide ribosomal RNA is filed under the name uncultured bacterium. RNAcentral's name for it is "partial 16S ribosomal RNA". It matches the Rfam family "Bacterial small subunit ribosomal RNA", at positions 28 to 507 of the family's 1533-position model. The record is from RNAcentral.